CCUACGGGGGGCUGCAGUGGGGAAUAUUGGACAAUGGGGGGAACCCUGAUCCAGCCAUGCCGCGUGUGUGAAGAAGGCCCUCGGGUUGUAAAGCACUUUCAGUGAGGAAGAACGCCUGGUGGUUAAUACCCAUCAGGAAAGACAUCACUCACAGAAGAAGCACCGGCUAACUCCGUGCCAGCAGCCGCGGUAAUACGGAGGGUGCGAGCGUUAAUCGGAAUUACUGGGCGUAAAGCGCGCGUAGGUGGCUUGAUAAGCCGGUUGUGAAAGCCCCGGGCUCAACCCGGGAACGGCAUCCGGAACUGUCAAGCUAGAGUGCAGGAGAGGAAGGUAGAAUUCCCGGUGUAGCGGUGAAAUGCGUAGAGAUCGGGAGGAAUACCAGUGGCGAAGGCGGCCUUCUGGACUGACACUGACACUGAGGUGCGAAAGCGUGGGUAGCAAACAGGAUUAGAUACCCCGGUAGUC
RNAcentral lists this ribosomal RNA (465 nucleotides) under Vreelandella stevensii. RNAcentral describes it as "partial 16S ribosomal RNA". It matches the Rfam family "Bacterial small subunit ribosomal RNA", at positions 338 to 795 of the family's 1533-position model. Lineage: Bacteria; Pseudomonadati; Pseudomonadota; Gammaproteobacteria; Oceanospirillales; Halomonadaceae. The record is from RNAcentral.